UUACAAGUCCACUCCUCCUUCAGCCAGCUUCUUACACAUCAAAUCCUCACCACAAAUAUUGUCUCCACCUAAAUCUCUUUCCAAUUUCAGUCCACUUGCAUUCUCUCUUUGUUCUCUGUUGCCAACUGCUUUGAUUUCUUAGUCGUUGCUCUCUGUCUCCGAGUUUUUGACUGUAUAUGAAACAAUAGAUAAGUAUGGUUAUGUUCAAACAAAAAGAAAAAAAGAAAUUGAAGUUUAACUGCGUCUGACACAUUUGCUGCUAGUUUUGUUGUUUGCAGAGGUUUAUACAAUGUUAGUUAUGUACUUUGGAUUUUUAAUUUUUUUCCAGUGUUUUCUGGUGUGACCUUUUGGUAAAAAUCUUAUCUUUUUAUGUCUGUCAUCAGAUUGAAGUGUUUUUUCCUUUUCCUUUAAUUGUUGGGGGAAGGGGUGAUUUGUUCUUUGAUUUUAUUGAUGUAGUAUUACUUUGUGGUAACACCUUGGCGUUGAUCAGCUUUCAGAAAUUUGUUUUGCCAGGUGCCACUUUGAGCUUAACAUUACGAACACCAGGGAUACAAUUACCGCAACAGUGUCAGAAACGGUGGCACAGACAAUGUUAUCCCUAACUAGCAAUCAAAUAUAUGAAAAUGUUGCUACUCAGGUACAUAACUGUAUACUACUACAACCAAACAAGACUCAUCUUCUUUGUAUCCUAUUAUAGCAAUAAACAUCUUCGUUGAAUCCUAUUAUAACAGUAAACAAAAAUGCUCCAUUACGUAACCUCCUACUCACUGCGCCAUCUUUUCUCCUUUGUAUUCAGAGAGAACCGUUGUCUAUUGUCCGUACAAAUCAACAGUUUGUUCAUAGACUGUUUAGACUUCAGCUACAAAAGCUGAGCUACAGAUUCCCCAACCAAACACCUUGUAUGUUGGCUGUUACAUCCUUCACUGAAGCAGAAAACCCGGUUGUUCAAACAUUAUCAUCACCAAUGGCUCCCGGAGAAACAGGUAAGAAGCAAAAAGUCGAACCGCGCACUCUAGCAAAAAAGGCUUAAAGGUAAGAAUACUUUUAAUAGUUUGUUCUCUAUUGUAUCGUACCUCCAUUUUAACUUCUUCCUUGGAACAUUUGCAUUAGGUGACGUGAAAAGAAACAUGCUGCUAAAACGGCCACAUAGGUUGCAACUUAAGAUGACUCUGGACUAAUACAAAAGACUACAUAUAGGAAAAAUCGUUGUUUGGUUGUUGUAGUAAUCUGAAUAGGAAAAAUGGACUUUUUACUUUCUCUGGCAUAGAGUAGACCAAAAUUCCUUUUGGACUUUGCCUAAAUUUGGUUAUGACCAUUUUGUAUCUGUGCAAAUUACCCUGUUGUUCUAUUAAUAGUCAACUUUUUCUGAAACAUCUGACCGAGUUACUUGUGAUGGUCAUUAAUGACAUGGUACAAAUAUUGGUUCAUCGAAGAUGAUCAAUUUGCUCAUCGUUUCCAACAACUGCUUCGAGUUUGAUACUCGGGAAAAAUUUGUUUCCGCUAUGUUUUAUCCCUAACAUUUAUAGCAUGUCAACCACAAUAGGCCGGUAAAUAUAAUACUCAUGCUUCCUUCAUUGAUUCUUUGUACUCACUACAAUCAAAAUUAAUUUGUCUCCCUCUUUUGUAGCCUCUCCAUCUGGACAGGUAAAUAGAACAAUCCUACACCCUUUCAUUACUGCCUCCCUUUACUACAUCACCGUACUAGAAAAAUAGAACACUGUAUUUUCCUUCGCCUGCUUAAAUUAUCUCUACAGGUGGCAAGUGCCCAAAGUUGGAUGCAGCCAAGUUUGCCUAAAUGAUGUGGCAUGUACAGCUAGAUUUUGGUUAAUUAAAGCUUGAUUUUGCCUGCCUCCACCAACGUCAUAGAAGCGGCCGCAUCAACAGACUUUUUCAUUUUGGUGUAACUAAUAGUAUAGUCACAACUUAAUGUGACAAAUCUACAUGUUAAUAGUUUUCACAAUUAUUAUUGCGCCCGUGCUAUUCCUAAAAUCCUCAAGUUUCUAUUAACUUGCAACAAGAAGGGAAGAUGAAUAUCUAUUUCCUUUUCAGAAUUCACAUCCUAAAUGCAUGUU
This 2072-nucleotide long non-coding RNA is filed under the name Capsicum annuum. RNAcentral's name for it is "long non-coding RNA (CANN_LNC019785)". The record is from RNAcentral. Lineage: Eukaryota; Viridiplantae; Streptophyta; Magnoliopsida; Solanales; Solanaceae.